This is a non-coding RNA of Armillaria mellea, 86 nucleotides long. The record is from the annotation of a GenBank genome assembly. NCBI's taxonomy places the organism in Eukaryota, Fungi, Basidiomycota, Agaricomycetes, Agaricales, Physalacriaceae.
ACACCGAUGGUGAAACGGUUAUCAUGCUUGCCUUCCAUGUAAUAUCUCCCUAGCAAGCGGUAGGGGUUCGACUCCCCUUCGGCGUA